AACAGGAUUAGAUACCCUGGUAGUCCACGCCGUAAACGAUGAGUGCUAGGUGUUGGGGGUUUCCGCCCUCUGUGCCGAAGGUAACCCAAUAAGCACUCCGCCUGGGGAGUACGACCGCAAGGUUGAAACUCAAAGGAAUUGACGGGGGCCCGCACAAGCGGUGGAGCAUGUGGUUUAAUUCGAAGCUACGCGAAGAACCUUACCAGGUCUUGACAUCUUGCGCUAACCUAAGAGAUUAGGCGUUCCCUUCGGGGACGCAAUGACAGGUGGUGCAUGGUCGUCGUCAGCUCGUGUCGUGAGAUGUUGGGUUAAGUCCCGCAACGAGCGCAACCCUUGUUACUAGUUGCCAGCAUUCAGUUGGGCACUCUAGUGAGACUGCCGGUGACAAACCGGAGGAAGGUGGGGAUGACGUCGGAUCAUCAUGCCCCUUAUGACCUGGGCUACACACGUGCUACAAUGGUCGGUACAACGAGUCGCUAACCCGCGAGGGCAAGCUAAUCUCUUAAAGCCGAUCUCAGUUCGGACUGUAGGCUGCAACUCGCCUACACGAAGUCGGAAUCGCUAGUAAUCGCGGAUCAGCAUGCCGCGGUGAAUACGUUCCCGGGCCUUGUACACACCGCCCGUCACACCAUGGAAGUUUGUAACGCCCAAAGUCGGUGGCCUAACCAUUUGGAGGGAGCCGCCUAAGGCGGGACAGAUGACUGGGGUGAAGUCGUAACAAGGUAACC
RNAcentral lists this ribosomal RNA (728 nucleotides) under uncultured bacterium. Its description in RNAcentral is "bacterial SSU rRNA". It matches the Rfam family "Bacterial small subunit ribosomal RNA", at positions 771 to 1501 of the family's 1533-position model. The record is from RNAcentral.